GUAUAGAUACCCGUACCGCAAACCGACACAGGUGGUCGAGGAGAGAAUCCUAAGGUGCUCGAGUGAAUCAUGGCUAAGGAACUCGGCAAAAUGGCCCUGUAACUUCGGGAGAAGGGGCGCCCCCUGUGAGGGGGGCCGCAGUGAAGAGGCCCAGGCGACUGUUUAACAAAAACACAUGGCUUUGCAAAGUUUAACGACUAAGUAUAAGGCCUGACACCUGCCCGGUGCUGGAAGGUUAAGAGGGGAUGUUAGCGUAAGCGAAGCAUUGAAUCGAAGCCCCAGUAAACGGCGGCCGUAGCUAUAACGGUCCUAAGGUAGCGAAAUUCCUUGUCGGGUAAGUUCCGACCUGCACGAAUGGUGUAACGAUCUGGGCGCUGUCUCAGCCAUGAGCUCGGUGAAAUUGUAGUCACGGUGAAGAUGCCGUGUACCCGCAACGGGACGGAAAGACCCCAUGCACCUUUACUGCAGCUUAGUAUUGGUACUGGGCAAACGAUGUGUAGGAUAGGUGGGAGACUGUGAGCUGGGUCCGCUAGGAUUUGGGGAGUCGCCGUUGAAAUACCACCCUUUGUUUGCUUGGUAUCUAACCCGCCGUGGCGGGGACAUUGCUUGGUGGGUAGUUUGACUGGGGUGGUCGCCUCCAAAAGGAUAACGGAGGCUUCCAAAGGUUCCCUCAGUACGCUUGGUAACCGUACGAGGAGUGCAAUAGCAUAAGGGAGCUUGACUGUAAGGCCGACAAGCCGAGCAGGGUGGAAACACGGGUAUAGUGAUCCGGCGGUUCUGAAUGUAAGGGCCGUCGCUCAAAGGAUAAAAGGUACGCUGGGAUAACAGGCUGAUCUCCCCCAAGAGCUCAUAUCGACGGGGAGGUUUGGCACCUCGAUGUCGGCUCGUCACAUCCUGGGGCUGGAGAAGGUCCCAAGGGUUCGGCUGUUCGCCGAUUAAAGUGGCACGCGAGCUGGGUUCAGAACGUCGUGAGACAGUUCGGUCCCUAUCUGUUGCGGGCGUGGGAAGUUUGCGAGGACCUGACCUUAGUACGAGAGGACCGGGUUGGACUGACCGCUGGUGUACCGGUUGUGGUGCCAACUGCAUUGCCGGGUAGCUACGUCGGGACGAGAUAAGCGCUGAAAGCAUCUAAGUGCGAAACUCACCUCAAGAUGAGACUUCCAUAUAGGGCCCUAGGAGACUACUAGGUUGAUAGGCUGCAGGUGUAAAGUCAGUAAUGGCAUAGCUGAGCAGUACUAAUUGCACAA
This 1247-nucleotide ribosomal RNA is filed under the name metagenome. RNAcentral describes it as "bacterial LSU rRNA". It matches the Rfam family "Bacterial large subunit ribosomal RNA", at positions 1632 to 2912 of the family's 2925-position model. The record is from RNAcentral.